AGAGUUUGAUCCUGGCUCAGAGCGAACGCUGGCGGCAGGCUUAACACAUGCAAGUCGAGCGGGCGUAGCAAUACGUCAGCGGCAGACGGGUGAGUAACGCGUGGGAACGUACCUUUUGGUUCGGAACAACACAGGGAAACUUGUGCUAAUACCGGAUAAGCCCUUACGGGGAAAGAUUUAUCGCCGAAAGAUCGGCCCGCGUCUGAUUAGCUAGUUGGUGAGGUAAUGGCUCACCAAGGCGACGAUCAGUAGCUGGUCUGAGAGGAUGAUCAGCCACAUUGGGACUGAGACACGGCCCAAACUCCUACGGGAGGCAGCAGUGGGGAAUAUUGGACAAUGGGCGCAAGCCUGAUCCAGCCAUGCCGCGUGAGUGAUGAAGGCCCUAGGGUUG
RNAcentral lists this ribosomal RNA (391 nucleotides) under uncultured bacterium. RNAcentral describes it as "bacterial SSU rRNA". It matches the Rfam family "Bacterial small subunit ribosomal RNA", at positions 8 to 425 of the family's 1533-position model. The record is from RNAcentral.